GGAGGCGUGCCAGAGCGGCCGAAUGGGGCUCACUGCUAAUGAGUUGUCCCCUUCAAGGGGACCGGAGGUUCAAAUCCUCUCGCCUCCGCCA
RNAcentral lists this transfer RNA (91 nucleotides) under Mycobacterium uberis. RNAcentral's name for it is "tRNA-Ser". It matches the Rfam family "tRNA". From Rfam's summary of the family: Transfer RNA (tRNA) molecules are approximately 80 nucleotides in length. Lineage: Bacteria; Bacillati; Actinomycetota; Actinomycetes; Mycobacteriales; Mycobacteriaceae. The record is from RNAcentral.